Non-coding RNA from Erysipelotrichaceae bacterium, 115 nucleotides. The record is from Rfam. Lineage: Bacteria; Bacillati; Bacillota; Erysipelotrichia; Erysipelotrichales; Erysipelotrichaceae.
AUAAAUCUUCAGGGCGGGGUGAAAUUCCCCACCGGCGGUACAGCCCGCGAGCCGUAAGGCACGAUUCGGUGAAACUCCGAAGCCGACAGUAGAGUCUGGAUGGAAGAAGAUUAGU